Molecule: long non-coding RNA, 1049 nt
Organism: Myripristis murdjan (pinecone soldierfish)
Lineage: Eukaryota; Metazoa; Chordata; Actinopteri; Holocentriformes; Holocentridae
Exons: 4
Source: RefSeq, a predicted model, not a curated record
GCUCAGAGUCUGCUAAUUAAGGACACUUUGAGUUUGGAGCUCAUUAGCUCAAAGGAAUCACUCUUUAAUCCAGUGAUUACUCUGAGGAAAGGCUUUGUUUUCUGCAGAGGCCACUGCUGCAGAAGUGGCAGAGCCAAUAUAUCCACUGGGAGGAAAAAUUCUUACCUGUGCUGAGGCUGCCUGCGCCUGCUGCUCCUGCUGCUGCAGCUGUCUCUGGAGCAGCUGGACCUGGUGCUCUGCAGAGCAGGGCGACUCCGCCGCCAACCGCUCCAACACAGGGGCACCGAGGAUGGGCGAGCCCAGCAGGAGGGACGGGUCACUGGAGGCCUGGGCCGGAGUUCUAUGACUUCAGACCAAAAGUACAUGACACUGCAGACACAGAGUGGGAGUUAAAGACAGAGGAGCAGGACUUUGCAGGAGUGACACUGGAAUGAACCAGGAGUGUGUGAAGGUCUGCAUACAUUACCUUCCCAUCAUCACCGAGGGCUUCGUCCCGUUUGCCCCGCUCCAGGUCUGACGAAGAGAUGCAGUCGAUGCUCUCCUCUGUGGUGGCUUCAAGGUCGGUCUCCUCUGACAGCGCAAACCUCUUCUUAGCUGUGGCGAGGGCAGAUAUACAGGGGAGAUUUUCAUGCUCUCUCAUCACCGUAAGGAUUAUAGUGCAACAUUUCUGCAGGCAGAGGCGGCAGCAGGCGCAGAGCUGGCACGAGCCCAUGCAGAGGUCUUUGAUCAAGGGCUUGCACGACACACCAGAACGGUUACGCUGCAGCAGCGUGGCAGGCUGCUAGAAACAAUCAGCGGCAGAUAAUGACAUGUUUUCUUAAGAGAUGUGCAAGCGUGUCACCGUGGGUUUCAGCAGGUGUUCACCGUGGCAUGCUUGUGCGAGAGGGACAGAGAAGGCUGGGGGAGUUUGUGUGUGUUGGUGUGUGAGAGGACAAAAAGGGGUGGCUGAGUUUGUGUGUGCGUGUGUGUGAGUGAGGAUGUCGAGAGGGAGGGGAAUGGGUGUGGAAAUGUGUGUGUGUGUAGGCGUGAGUCACCUGGUGCUGCCUGCG